This 477-nucleotide ribosomal RNA is filed under the name uncultured anaerobic ammonium-oxidizing bacterium. RNAcentral describes it as "bacterial SSU rRNA". It matches the Rfam family "Bacterial small subunit ribosomal RNA", at positions 365 to 832 of the family's 1533-position model. The record is from RNAcentral.
UUCGCAAUGCCCGAAAGGGUGACGAAGCGACGCCGCGUGGGUGAGGAAGGCCCUCGGGUUGUAAAGCCCUGUCAGGAGUUAAGAAAUGUAAGUGCGCUAAUAUCGCAUUUAUUUGACAAAGGCUCCAUAGGAAGCCACGGCUAACUCUGUGCCAGCAGCCGCGGUAAUACAGAGGUGGCAAGCGUUGUUCGGAAUUAUUGGGCGUAAAGAGCACGUAGGUGGGUUUGUAAGUCAGAUGUGAAAGCCUUCUGUUCAACGGAAGAAUUGCAUCUGAAACUGCAAGUCUUGAGUGUAGGAGGGGAGAAUGGAACUUCUGGUGGAGCGGUGAAAUGCGUAGAUAUCAGAAGGAACGUCGGCGGCGAAAGCGACUCUCUGGCCUAUUACUGACACUGAGUGUGCGAAAGUUAGGGGAGCAAACGGGAUUAGAUACCCCGGUAGUCCUAACUGUAGACGAUGGGCACUAAGUAGAGGGGUUUU